RNAcentral lists this unclassified non-coding RNA (205 nucleotides) under uncultured fungus. Its description in RNAcentral is "sequence contains ITS1, 5.8S rRNA gene". The record is from RNAcentral. Lineage: Eukaryota; Fungi.
CCAAAAGAUAAUCUUUCAACAUCUGAAAGAUCUUACCUUUGUGCUGGCUUUGACAGUUUUGUACUUUUGGGGCUUUAAAAUGGUUCAGUUAGUAAAGGAGGGGAGUAAUCCCUUUUCAUUGCUGCUGGGUCGGCCCCAAAAAAUCAUAUCAUCCUUAUAAUUUUUUCUGAUUAAUUAACACAUGAUUUUAAUAAUCUGUUUAAAA